AAGUACGUACGCAAGUAUGAAACUUAAAGGAAUUGGCGGGGGAGCACCNCAAGGGGUGAAGCCUGCGGUUCAAUUGGAGUCAACGCCAGAAAUCUUACCCGGAGAGACAGCAGAAUGAAGGUCAAGCUGAAGACUUUACCAGACGAGCUGAGAGGUGGUGCAUGGCCGUCGCCAGCUCGUGCCGUGAGAUGUCCUGUUAAGUCAGGUAACGAGCGAGAUCCCUGCCACUAGUUGCUAUCAUUAUUCUCAGGAAUAGUGGGGCGAAUUAGUGGGACUGCCGUUGUUAAAACGGAGGAAGGAAGGGGCUACGGCAGGUCAGUAUGCCCCGAAACUCUGGGGCCACACGCGGGCUGCAAUGGUAGUGACAAUGAGUUCCAAACUCGAAAGAGAGUGGCAAUCUCUAAACGCUACCACAGUUAUGACUGAGGGCUGUAACUCGCCCUCACGAAUAUGGAAUCCCUAGUAACCGCGUGUCAUUACCGCGCGGUGAAUACGUCCCUGCUCCUUGCACACACCGCCCGUCGUUUCAUCGAAGUUUGCUUUUAGUGAGGUGAUGUUUAAUUGGCAUUAUCGAACUUGAGGUAAGCGACGAGGGAAAAGUCGUAACAAGGUA
This 613-nucleotide ribosomal RNA is filed under the name uncultured archaeon. RNAcentral's name for it is "bacterial SSU rRNA". It matches the Rfam family "Archaeal small subunit ribosomal RNA", at positions 833 to 1445 of the family's 1478-position model. The record is from RNAcentral.